Molecule: ribosomal RNA, 229 nt
Filed under: uncultured bacterium
Lineage: Bacteria
Description: partial 16S ribosomal RNA
Rfam family: Bacterial small subunit ribosomal RNA
Source: RNAcentral
UGCGUAGGCGGCGGCAUAAGUCAGAAGUGAAAGUUGGCAGCUUAACUGCAAAAUUGCUUUUGAUACUGUGUUGCUUGAAUCACGUUGAGGCUGGCGGAAUGUGGCAUGUAGCGGUGAAAUGCUUAGAUAUGCCAUAGAACACCAAUUGCGAAGGCAGCUGGCUAGACGUGUAUUGACGCUGAGGCACGAAAGCGUGGGGAUCGAACAGGAUUAGAUACCCUGGUAGUCC